AUCUUCGACUGAUUGGCCUUACCUGGGAGGAGUACUUAGGAGCCUGCCAUCAGUCCUUCAGCGCCUGAGUGUUGUUGCCCUAGUGGUAAACACCAAGCCAGAGAAACUUUGCCAGUCUGUUUUUGGUUUUUGAUAAUCCUGUUUAUCUUUCCCUGCUUCCUGUUAGAAACCUGUGAGGUGUGGGCUGUUACCUACGGAGCUGGACUCAGACAUUCUACACCUUCUGUUUGUGAAUUUGGAUUAUUCAUCUCUGACUGUGGCACGGUUUCUAACCUUCCUAACACCUACCUCUGUGAGAACUCUGGACCAAACAUGGGACAAGCUAUUUGGAUUGCCUGACUCCCAAGGCCAGUGGUAUGACCCUCCUGAAUUUCUCUGCUCAAGUGAUCAAUGGACCUGAAGAACCUUCCAACCCUCACUCCUGUAGAACUCUCCUUGUGUGUUUAAAUAAACCUUUGAAACUUG
Girardinichthys multiradiatus is the source of this 465-nucleotide long non-coding RNA. RefSeq lists it as uncharacterized. Lineage: Eukaryota; Metazoa; Chordata; Actinopteri; Cyprinodontiformes; Goodeidae. The transcript is spliced from 2 exons. The record is from RefSeq and is a predicted model, not a curated record.